Molecule: long non-coding RNA, 391 nt
Filed under: Pan troglodytes (chimpanzee)
Lineage: Eukaryota; Metazoa; Chordata; Mammalia; Primates; Hominidae
Description: long non-coding RNA NONPTRT011177
Source: RNAcentral
UAUGCUCAUUGCAGCACUAUUCACAAUAGCAAAAACAUGUAAUCCACCUAAAUGCCCAUCAAUGAUAGACUGGAUAAAGAAAAUGUGGUACACAUACACCAUGGAACAUAGGCUCAAAAUAAAAGGAUGGAGGAAGAUCUACCAAGCAAAUGGAAAACAAAGAAAGGCAGGGGUUGCAAUCCUAGUCUCUGAUAAAACAGACUUUAGACAUGAACAGACACUUCUCAAAAGAAGACAUUUAUGCAGCCAAAAGACACAUGAAAAAAUGCUCAUCAUCACUGGCCAUCAGAGAAAUGCAAAUCAAAACCACAAUGAGAUACCAUCUCACACCAGUUAGAAUGGCAAUCAUUAAAAAGUCAGGAAACAACAGGUGCUGGAGAGGAUGUGGAGA